This 576-nucleotide small RNA is filed under the name Pongo abelii (Sumatran orangutan). Its description in RNAcentral is "retained intron". The record is from RNAcentral. Lineage: Eukaryota; Metazoa; Chordata; Mammalia; Primates; Hominidae.
ACUGUGGCCCUCGUCCCCUGCCUCACCAAGCAUGUGCUCCGGGAAAACCAGGAUUAUGUCCCUGGAGAGCGGACCCCAAUGCUGGAGGAUGUAGAUGAGGGGGGCAUCCGGCCCUGGCACCUGGUGAAGCCAAGUGAUGAGCCGGAGCCGCCCAGGCCUCGGAGGGGCAGCCUUCGGGGCGGGGAGCGUGAGCGUGCCAAGGCCAUCCCUGAGAUCUACCUGACCCGCCUGCUGUCCAUGAAGGGCACCCUGCAGAAGUUCGUGGAUGAUCUAUUCCAGGUGAUUCUCAGCACCAGCCGCCCCGUGCCACUUGCUGUGAAGUACUUCUUUGACCUGCUGGAUGAGCAGGCCCAGCAGCAUGGCAUCUCCGACCAGGACACCAUCCACAUCUGGAAGACCAACAGGUGGGGUGGAGCUGGGUGGGCUCUAGGUGUGUGUGGGGGGUCUUCUCUUCUGCCUCCCCAGCACAUUCAUUGGCCAUGCCUGCCCCACCCGCAGCUUGCCUCUGAGGUUCUGGAUCAAUAUAAUAAAAAACCCGCAGUUUGUGUUCGACGUGCAAACAUCUGAUAACAUGGA